RNAcentral lists this ribosomal RNA (255 nucleotides) under uncultured bacterium. RNAcentral's name for it is "partial 16S ribosomal RNA". It matches the Rfam family "Bacterial small subunit ribosomal RNA", at positions 524 to 776 of the family's 1533-position model. The record is from RNAcentral.
UACAGAGGGUGCAAGCGUUUGUUCGGAAUUAUUGGGCGUAAAGGGCGCGUAGGCGGUGCGGUAAGUCUGUAGUGAAAUCUCUGGGCUCAACUCAGAGUCUGCUGCAGAAACUGCCGUGCUUGAGUGUGGGAGAGGUGAGUGGAAUUCCCGGUGUAGCGGUGAAAUGCGUAGAUAUCGGGGAGGAACACCUGUGGCGAAAGCGGCUCACUGGACCACAACUGACGCUGAGGCGCGAAAGCUAGGGGAGCAAACAGG